GGCUGGGGAUGUAGCUCAGCGGGAAAGCACCCCUGGGUUCAGUCCCCAG
RNAcentral lists this microRNA precursor (49 nucleotides) under Ictidomys tridecemlineatus (thirteen-lined ground squirrel). RNAcentral describes it as "miRNA (ENSSTOG00000033313.1)". Lineage: Eukaryota; Metazoa; Chordata; Mammalia; Rodentia; Sciuridae. The record is from RNAcentral.